Molecule: microRNA, 21 nt
Filed under: Mus musculus (house mouse)
Lineage: Eukaryota; Metazoa; Chordata; Mammalia; Rodentia; Muridae
Description: mmu-miR-7045-5p
Source: miRBase by way of RNAcentral
AGCGGGUGGGGGAGGGGGACU